Molecule: ribosomal RNA, 581 nt
Filed under: uncultured bacterium
Lineage: Bacteria
Description: partial 16S ribosomal RNA
Rfam family: Bacterial small subunit ribosomal RNA
Source: RNAcentral
UGGGGAAUUUUGGACAAUGGGCGAAAGCCUGAUCCAGCAAUGCCGCGUGUGUGAAGAAGGCCUUCGGGUUGUAAAGCACUUUUGUCCGGAAAGAAAUCCUUGGCUCUAAUACAGUCGGGGGAUGACGGUACCGGAAGAAUAAGCACCGGCUAACUACGUGCCAGCAGCCGCGGUAAUACGUAGGGUGCAAGCGUUAAUCGGAAUUACUGGGCGUAAGCGUGCGCAGGCGGUUUGCUAAGACCGAUGUGAAAUCCCCGGGCUCAACCUGGGAACUGCAUUGGUGACUGGCAGGCUAGAGUAUGGCAGAGGGGGGUAGAAUUCCACGUGUAGCAGUGGAAUGCGUAGAGAUGUGGAGGAAUACCGAUGGCGAAGGCAGCCCCCUGGGCCAAUACUGACGCUCAUGCACGAAAGCGUGGGGAGCAAACAGGAUUAGAUACCCUGGUAGUCCACGCCCUAAACGAUGUCAACUAGUUGUUGGGAUUCAUUCUUAGUAACGUAGCUAACGCGUGAAGUUGACCGCCUGGGGAGUACGGUCGCAAGAUUAAAACUCAAAUGAAUUGACGGGGUCAUAGCUGUUUCCU